This 519-nucleotide ribosomal RNA is filed under the name uncultured eukaryote. RNAcentral describes it as "SSU rRNA". It matches the Rfam family "Eukaryotic small subunit ribosomal RNA", at positions 1161 to 1702 of the family's 1831-position model. The record is from RNAcentral.
AGGGCACCACCAGGAGUGGAGCCUGCGGCUUAAUUUGACUCAACACGGGAAAUCUCACCAGGCCCGGACACCGGAAGGAUUGACAGAUUGAGAGCUCUUUCUUGAUUCGGUGGGUGGUGGUGCAUGGCCGUUCUUAGUUGGUGGAGCGAUUUGUCUGGUUAAUUCCGAUAACGAACGAGACUCUGGCCUACUAACUAGACGUUGGAUCCCUUUGUGGGUCCAUCGCAGCUUCUUAGAGGGACGGGCGGCGUUUAGCCGCACGAGAUUGAGCAAUAACAGGUCUGUGAUGCCCUUAGAUGUUCUGGGCUGCACGCGCGCUACACUGAAGGAAUCAGCGUGUGUUCCCUAUCCGAAAGGAUUGGGAAACCCGUUGAACCUCCUUCGUGAUGGGGAUUGGGGAUCGCAAUUAUUCCCCAUGAACGGGGAAUUCCCAGUAGGCGCGAGUCAUAAGCUUGCGUCGAUUACGUCCCUGCCCUUUGUACACACCGCCCGUCGCUACUACCGAUCGAGUGAUUUAGU